Molecule: ribosomal RNA, 659 nt
Filed under: Salmonella enterica subsp. enterica serovar Newport
Lineage: Bacteria; Pseudomonadati; Pseudomonadota; Gammaproteobacteria; Enterobacterales; Enterobacteriaceae
Description: partial 23S ribosomal RNA
Rfam family: Bacterial large subunit ribosomal RNA
Source: RNAcentral
GUUGGCUUAGAAGCAGCCAUCAUUUAAAGAAAGCGUAAUAGCUCACUGGUCGAGUCGGCCUGCGCGGAAGAUGUAACGGGGCUAAACCAUGCACCGAAGCUGCGGCAGCGAACGUAUCACUUAAAGCGAUUCAGCGGGUUACGAUUGACGGAGCGAAGCGACGUCAAAGCGUAUACAAAGUCGAGUCGGUUUAAGGAUACGUUCGUUGGGUAGGGGAGCGUUCUGUAAGCCUGUGAAGGUGGCCUGUGAGGGUUGCUGGAGGUAUCAGAAGUGCGAAUGCUGACAUAAGUAACGAUAAAGCGGGUGAAAAGCCCGCUCGCCGGAAGACCAAGGGUUCCUGUCCAACGUUAAUCGGGGCAGGGUGAGUCGACCCCUAAGGCGAGGCCGAAAGGCGUAGUCGAUGGGAAACGGGUUAAUAUUCCCGUACUUGGUGUUACUGCGAAGGGGGGACGGAGAAGGCUAUGUUGGCCGGGCGACGGUUGUCCCGGUUUAAGCGUGUAGGUGUGUGUUCCAGGUAAAUCCGGUUCACUUUAACACUGAGGCGUGACGACGAGGCACUACGGUGCUGAAGCAACAAAUGCCCUGCUUCCAGGAAAAGCCUCUAAGCAUCAGGUAACAUCAAAUCGUACCCCAAACCGACACAGGUGGUCAGGUAGAGA